AAAAAAGCAGGAUGUUCUCUAUGUAAGCAUUGUCAUUCUUAUUGGGUGAACCUGUGGACUUAAACUUGACGUCUAUUAUUGGUUCAGUAAAUGGUGGCUUAUUU
Oryza nivara is the source of this 104-nucleotide non-coding RNA. The record is from Rfam. Lineage: Eukaryota; Viridiplantae; Streptophyta; Magnoliopsida; Poales; Poaceae.